AUUGAACGCUGGCGGUAUGCUUAACACAUGCAAGUCGAACGGUAACAGGCAAAGCUUGCUUUGUGCUGACGAGUGGCGGACGGGUGAGUAACGCGUGGGAAUCUGCCUUAUAGUGGGGGAUAGCCCGGAGAAAUCCGGAUUAAUACCGCAUAAGCCCUAUGGGGGAAAGCUGGGGAUCUUCGGACCUGGCGCUAUUAGAUGAGCCCGCGUUAGAUUAGCUAGUUGGUGGGGUAAAGGCCUACCAAGGCGACGAUCUAUAGCUGGUCUGAGAGGACGAUCAGCCACACUGGGACUGAGACACGGCCCAGACUCCUACGGGAGGCAGCAGUGGGGAAUAUUGCACAAUGGGCGCAAGCCUGAUGCAGCAAUACCGCGUGUGUGAAGAAGGCCUGCGGGUUGUAAAGC
Molecule: ribosomal RNA, 405 nt
Filed under: uncultured bacterium
Lineage: Bacteria
Description: bacterial SSU rRNA
Rfam family: Bacterial small subunit ribosomal RNA
Source: RNAcentral